AGGACGGGCCUUUCAGGCAUCCUCUCCUAAAGACUUUCGGGUCGGCCCUUCGGGACCGACCCUUUUUUUGCCCGCA
RNAcentral lists this small RNA (76 nucleotides) under Sphingomonas sp. MM-1. Its description in RNAcentral is "Makes More Granules Regulator RNA (mmgR)". It matches the Rfam family "Makes More Granules Regulator RNA (mmgR)". From Rfam's summary of the family: SuhB later renamed mmgR (makes more granules regulator) was a putative non-coding RNA found multiple times in the Agrobacterium tumefaciens genome and related alpha-proteobacteria. Other non-coding RNAs uncovered in the same analysis include: speF, ybhL, metA, and serC. Lineage: Bacteria; Pseudomonadati; Pseudomonadota; Alphaproteobacteria; Sphingomonadales; Sphingomonadaceae. The record is from Rfam by way of RNAcentral.